AUUGCUUCUUGGCCUUUUGGCUAAGAUCAAGCAUAGUAUCUGUUCUUACCAGUUUAAUACGUGAUAUGUCCUCUUACCUGAGGACCAUGUAUUUAUUAAAUUGGGUUUUGGAACAGGGAGAUGGAUCAGAAGCUUGCUUUAUCCAUUCCAUGUAUAAAUCUGGUAUUGCUGUACUUCCAGGAAUAGUGUACUCCCC
This is a small nuclear RNA of Cynocephalus volans (Philippine flying lemur), 196 nucleotides long. RefSeq annotates it as U2 spliceosomal RNA. The transcript has a single exon. The record is from RefSeq and is a predicted model, not a curated record. NCBI's taxonomy places the organism in Eukaryota, Metazoa, Chordata, Mammalia, Dermoptera, Cynocephalidae.